CUAGCUGUAAACUUUGGAUACUGGGUAUUGGGGGGGUAAGACCCCUGAGUGCCGAAGCAAACGCGUUAAGUAUCCCGCCUGGGGACUACGGCCGCAAGGUUAAAACUCAAAGGAAUUGACGGGGACCCGCACAAGCAGCGGAGCGUGUGGUUUAAUUCGAUGCAACACGAAGAACCUUACCUGGGUUUGACAUAUACGUAGUAGGGAAGCGAAAGCGGACCGACCCUUCGGGGAGCGUAUACAGGUGC
This 248-nucleotide ribosomal RNA is filed under the name uncultured Chloroflexota bacterium. RNAcentral's name for it is "uncultured Chloroflexi bacterium partial 16S ribosomal RNA". It matches the Rfam family "Bacterial small subunit ribosomal RNA", at positions 796 to 1041 of the family's 1533-position model. The record is from RNAcentral. Lineage: Bacteria; Bacillati; Chloroflexota.